AAAAGAAACCAACAGGGAUUGCCCCAGUAACGGCGAGUGAAGCGGCAACAGCUCAAAUUUGAAAUCUGGCCCCCAGGGCCCGAGUUGUAAUUUGCAGAGGAUGCUUUUGGCGCGGUGCCUUCCGAGUUCCCUGGAACGGGACGCCAUAGAGGGUGAGAGCCCCGUCUGGUCGGACGCCUAGCCUGUGUAAAGCUCCUUCGACGAGUCGAGUAGUUUGGGAAUGCUGCUCUAAAUGGGAGGUAUAUGUCUUCUAAAGCUAAAUACCGGCCAGAGACCGAUAGCGCACAAGUAGAGUGAUCGAAAGAUGAAAAGCACUUUGAAAAGAGGGUUAAAUAGUACGUGAAAUUGUUGAAAGGGAAGCGCUUGUGACCAGACUUGGGCCCGGUGGAUCAUCCAGCGUUCUCGCUGGUGCACUCCGCCGGGUUCAGGCCAGCAUCAGUUCGCCGCGGGGGAAAAAGGCUUCGGGAACGUGGCUCCUACGGGAGUGUUAUAGCCCGUUGCAUAAUACCCUGGGGCGGACUGAGGUUCGCGCUCCGCAAGGAUGCUGGCGUAAUGGUCAUCAGCGCC
RNAcentral lists this ribosomal RNA (567 nucleotides) under Purpureocillium lilacinum. RNAcentral's name for it is "eukaryotic LSU rRNA". It matches the Rfam family "Eukaryotic large subunit ribosomal RNA", at positions 57 to 648 of the family's 3401-position model. Lineage: Eukaryota; Fungi; Ascomycota; Sordariomycetes; Hypocreales; Ophiocordycipitaceae. The record is from RNAcentral.